GGUUAAGCGACUAAGCGUACACGGUGGAUGCCCUGGCAGUCAGAGGCGAUGAAGGACGUGCUAAUCUGCGAAAAGCGUCGGUAAGGUGAUAUGAACCGUUAUAACCGGCGAUGUCCGAAUGGGGAAACCCAGUGCAAUUCGUUGCACUAUCGUUAACUGAAUACAUAGGUUAACGAGGCGAACCGGGGGAACUGAAACAUCUAAGUACCCCGAGGAAAAGAAAUCAAGCGAGAUUCCCCCAGUAGCGGCGAGCGAACGGGGAGCAGCCCAGAGUCUGAAUCAGCUUGUGUGUUAGUGGAACGGUCUGGAAAGUCCGACGGUACAGGGUGAUAGUCCCGUACACCAAAAUGCACAGGCUGUGAACUCGAAGAGUAGGGCGGGACACGUGGUAUCCUGUCUGAAUAUGGGGGGACCAUCCUCCAAGGCUAAAUACUCCUGACUGACCGAUAGUGAACCAGUACCGUGAGGGAAAGGCGAAAAGAACCCCGGCGAGGGGAGUGAAAAAGAACCUGAAACCGUGUACGUACAAGCAGUGGGAGCACCUUCGGGUGUGACUGCGUACCUUUUGUAUAAUGGGUCAGCGACUUAUAUUCUGUAGCAAGGUUAACCGUAUAGGGGAGCCGCAGGGAAACCGAGUCUUAACUGGGCGUUAAGUUGCAGGGUAUAGACCCGAAACCCGGUGAUCUAGCCAUGGGCAGGUUGAAGGUUGGGUAACACUAACUGGAGGACCGAACCGACUAAUGUUGAAAAAUUAGCGGAUGACUUGUGGCUGGGGGUGAAAGGCCAAUCAAACCGGGAGAUAGCUGGUUCUCCCCGAAAGCUAUUUAGGUAGCGCCUCGUGAACUCAUCUUCGGGGGUAGAGCACUGUUUCGGCUAGGGGGUCAUCCCGACUUACCAACCCGAUGCAAACUACGAAUACCGAAGAAUGUUAUCACGGGAGACACACGGCGGGUGCUAACGUCCGUCGUGAAGAGGGAAACAACCCAGACCGCCAGCUAAGGUCCCAAAGUCAUGGUUAAGUGGGAAACGAUGUGGGAAGGCACAGACAGCCAGGAUGUUGGCUUAGAAGCAGCCAUCAUUUAAAGAAAGCGUAAUAGCUCACUGGUCGAGUCGGCCUGCGCGGAAGAUGUAACGGGGCUAAACCAUGCACCGAAGCUGCGGCAGCGACACUAUGUGUUGUUGGGUAGGGGAGCGUUCUGUAAGCCUGCGAAGGUGUGCUGUGAGGCAUGCUGGAGGUAUCAGAAGUGCGAAUGCUGACAUAAGUAACGAUAAAGCGGGUGAAAAGCCCGCUCGCCGGAAGACCAAGGGUUCCUGUCCAACGUUAAUCGGGGCAGGGUGAGUCGACCCCUAAGGCGAGGCCGAAAGGCGUAGUCGAUGGGAAACAGGUUAAUAUUCCUGUACUUGGUGUUACUGCGAAGGGGGGACGGAGAAGGCUAUGUUAGCCGGGCGACGGUUGUCCCGGUUUAAGCAUGUAGGCUGGUUGUCCAGGCAAAUCCGGAUAAUCAAGGCUGAGGUGUGAUGACGAGGCACUACGGUGCUGAAGUAACAAAUGCCCUGCUUCCAGGAAAAGCCUCUAAGCAUCAGGUAACAUCAAAUCGUACCCCAAACCGACACAGGUGGUCAGGUAGAGAAUACCAAGGCGCUUGAGAGAACUCGGGUGAAGGAACUAGGCAAAAUGGUGCCGUAACUUCGGGAGAAGGCACGCUGGUGUGUAGGUGAAGCCCCUGCGGGUGGAGCUGAGACCAGUCGAAGAUACCAGCUGGCUGCAACUGUUUAUUAAAAACACAGCACUGUGCAAACACGAAAGUGGACGUAUACGGUGUGACGCCUGCCCGGUGCCGGAAGGUUAAUUGAUGGGGUUAUCCGUAAGGAGAAGCUCUUGAUCGAAGCCCCGGUAAACGGCGGCCGUAACUAUAACGGUCCUAAGGUAGCGAAAUUCCUUGUCGGGUAAGUUCCGACCUGCACGAAUGGCGUAAUGAUGGCCAGGCUGUCUCCACCCGAGACUCAGUGAAAUUGAACUCGCUGUGAAGAUGCAGUGUACCCGCGGCAAGACGGAAAGACCCCGUGAACCUUUACUAUAGCUUGACACUGAACAUUGAGCCUUGAUGUGUAGGAUAGGUGGGAGGCUUUGAAGCGUGGACGCCAGUCUGCGUGGAGCCAACCUUGAAAUACCACCCUUUAAUGUUUGAUGUUCUAACGUUGGCCCCUUACCGGGGUUGCGGACAGUGUCUGGUGGGUAGUUUGACUGGGGCGGUCUCCUCCCAAAGCGUAACGGAGGAGCACGAAGGUUAGCUAAUCCUGGUCGGACAUCAGGAGGUUAGUGCAAUGGCAUAAGCUAGCUUGACUGCGAGCGUGACGGCGCGAGCAGGUGCGAAAGCAGGUCAUAGUGAUCCGGUGGUUCUGAAUGGAAGGGCCAUCGCUCAACGGAUAAAAGGUACUCCGGGGAUAACAGGCUGAUACCGCCCAAGAGUUCAUAUCGACGGCGGUGUUUGGCACCUCGAUGUCGGCUCAUCACAUCCUGGGGCUGAAGUAGGUCCCAAGGGUAUGGCUGUUCGCCAUUUAAAGUGGUACGCGAGCUGGGUUUAGAACGUCGUGAGACAGUUCGGUCCCUAUCUGCCGUGGGCGCUGGAGAAUUGAGGGGGGCUGCUCCUAGUACGAGAGGACCGGAGUGGACGCAUCACUGGUGUUCGGGUUGUCAUGCCAAUGGCACUGCCCGGUAGCUAAAUGCGGAAGAGAUAAGUGCUGAAAGCAUCUAAGCACGAAACUUGCCCCGAGAUGAGUUCUCCCUGAGACUUUAAGUCUCCUGAAGGAACGUUGAAGACGACGACGUUGAUAGGCCGGGUGUGUAAGCGCAGCGAUGCGUUGAGCUAACCGGUACUAAUGAACCGUGAGGCUUAACCUU
RNAcentral lists this ribosomal RNA (2902 nucleotides) under Klebsiella pneumoniae. RNAcentral describes it as "23S ribosomal RNA". It matches the Rfam family "Bacterial large subunit ribosomal RNA". Lineage: Bacteria; Pseudomonadati; Pseudomonadota; Gammaproteobacteria; Enterobacterales; Enterobacteriaceae. The record is from RNAcentral.